GGGGAAGUGGAUUAAAAGGUAUGAACUUCCAGUCAUACAAUAAAUCGGUUAUGGUGAUGUCAUGUACAGCAUAGGGAAUACAGUCAGCAACAUUGUAAUAACUUUAUAAGGUGACAGAUGGUUACUAGACUUACUGUAGAGACUAUUCCACAGUGUAUAUAAAUGUUGAACCACGCUGUUAUACACCUGAAACCAGUAUUAUAUGUCAGCCGUACUUCAGUUACAAAAAGAAAUGAACAGUCAAGUGAAAGGCCAGAGAAAUGAGUCAGAAAUCUAAUAUUCUCUCCUGCUUUCCCUCCAUCCCAUCUCAUAUUUUACUUUCAUCCUAAAGACCUUUCAUCUCCCCAUGCUUCCCUGAACUGAGAUGAUGGUUAAAGAUUUACAAAACCUUACGGAAUUGAGAAUCAGAAAAUGUAGGUGACUCAACUGAGAAUAUAGGGUUAAUAAGCGAGAAAGCCAGGGCUUGAAUCCAGUCGUCUUUGUCGUCCUGUCUCUCAUGUUGCAGCUGCAGUGUGUGACUGGUACAAAUGGGCUCCAAACCAAAGUCCACCAUGGGGUCCCAGCAUUCAUAGAAAGAGAACUCUUCUCUUAAGGGAAGUAGAUUUGGCUAAGGAAAUAGGGUUUGUUCAAGUGCUGGGCAAAUAAAGUGAUAAAGAAUUUUUUCUUUGGAGUUUCUGACCAAACUUACAGCUUGAACUGUGAAAGGGUUUUCUUCCAAAUAAGAGUUAUCAACCACUGUAGAGACUUCAAAUCUCUCCUAAUGCAUGGUUUCAUACUCUGCUACUAACAGGGUGUGCUUCGUGAUUAAGGACGCAUGAGCUGGGUGACUGGCCAAGAACCUAAGUUGGUUUUCCCUUAUUUCUGAUUCAUGAACAUUAAUUAGAGCUAAAUUUUUUUUACCUAUAUCAUCCCAUUACUUGUUCAAAGUUCUCAUUUAGGACUCAUUACCCUGACAUGUAUAUUUCAUGUAUUAUAUUACAUUUUAUAAAAUGUUUUCAUAUACUAUUAUAUAUUAAAUAUUUUAUACAAUAUUAUAUUUUUUAGCAUAAUUUACCACUGUAUUCCCAGCACUUAACACUGGACCUAACCCCCUUAAUUAAGGGCCAGGUUUGCCUGUGAAGUUCUAAUUGCUUUUCUCUGGAUUGAUUUAAUAUUGAGGAAAGCGGAUGCUCAUAUUCCCUAAAACAUUAGUUGGUUCUAUAUGAAUGAGACUUUAUAGCUUGAACUGCUGCUGGAAAUGUUCUUCCAUGUUGUGGGGGGAGGGCAUCCCCCAUUGGCUAGAACGAGGAUCCUAGGUGGCUUUUUAAUGCAAGAUAGAUUCUUCUCUUUUGAAAAAAGUUCAGGGUUUAUUUGGAAAGUUUGAGGCCCUGGGGAAGUUGAAUUUUGCUUAGCUUGAUGUCUCUAGUACAUCACUGUCUACACUGUGAGUUGCCCUUGGGUGGCGAUGUACUCUGGGUAAACAGAAAAUGCCAGCCAACUGAUGCAAGUUCAGUUCUACCUUUGCCUUUUUCUGUCUUAGCCUUAUUAUCUGUAUAGUGGAGAGCCUUAUCCCUGCCUCCUCCUUGGGAUUGUUCUGAGGAUCUAGUGAGAUAAUGUUUGGGAAAGUCUUUUGUGUGAUGGGCCACAUCAUGGAAGAGUUUGUUUGCCAUAAAGUGAUGCUGAGCAUGAGUUGUGCCCACAGUGAUCCUGGGUAACAGGGCAGAUUCCUCUUGGGAUGUUUAAUCCAGCCACAUAUUCAGUGAGGGGCUGGCACUAACUGUUCAGCAGUUCAGAAAAAGUUCUGUGGCCAAUUCCUUGAAGGGGGGACAAGGGCUGUUGAAAACAUUUGAUUCUAUAGUGUCUGACUGUAGAGCUAUUCCAUUCAAACAAGGUUUCUAGGAAACCUGGGUGAUGAAUGUUCUAGAAGUCCACAGUGAUAAGGUAUUCUGAAUGAUGCCUGUCAGCAACCACAUAGCCUUCAGCCCCAGGAGAUGGCCCCAUAUACAUAGAUCAAGACAGCCUUAUUGCCCAAGUAAUGAACAUUUAUUUCACUGAACCUCAGCAUGCAGGACCCUUUUUGAUGAGAUUAGCUUCAUAUAGAUCACAAAAAAAAAAUCCCAGGGCUUAUGUCUUUGUCAUUAAAUAUUAAGCACACUUCAUCCAUUUCUCUAUCACAUUGCAUUAUGGUGUGUUCUACAUAAGCCCAUCUCACCUGAAAGACUGCAAGCUCCUUUAUUCAAGGAAUAGUGCAGAGUUUAUUUUGAUAUUUUCCAUGUUUAGCACCAUAUCCGGCAUGUAGUAAAGAUUCCAUGAGUGUUUAUUGAAUGACUGUCAAACUUUUUUGCCUGCAAUGCUUUGUUUUUAAUUAUUCAUUUUUUUAAUUUGUCAGCUAACAGCAUCUCUUUCUUUUAGCCACUUUGUAUUCUUAGGGAAAUUUAAGUAUAGUUUGAUUUUUGCCGUUGCCUCUGCUGAUCUUGAAAGAGGACCCAGUAGUUCUCGUAUGAUCUGGAGAGCAGAUAACAUGUGCUGUUUGGGUCUCUGUAUUUUCUUUUGAAGGCUUUUCUGAAUAAUGAGCCCACCCUUUUAUUCUAACGGAGGUCGCGUCCUGGGGCAUUCAUGCCCCUAAGACUGAGGUCUAGCCUAGUCACUGACUUCAUAGCUAAUUCCUUCUUCUCCUCACUGGGUACUCAUUUGAAUCCCAGACCCCAAAUCUACUUAAAACCCCUUGAUCAGCCUCUACUCGCAACUCUCUGGAAUUGUCUGACUCAGCUUAAUCAUAACCUGAAUAAUUAUUUGUGUGUAUUACUUCCAAAUACUCUAGUCUCAUGCUCUUUUCCCCCAUGAUUUUCUUGGCUUAGAGUCUAUAGAUUCAUAAAACUUAGAUGUCUCAGUGGAGCUAAGUAAGGACAACAAGGAUGCCAAAAUUUCACAGAGAUGCCUCAUAAACUGAAUCCUAGUUUUCCUGAAUCUUAAAUGAUUCCCAUUGUUUAAAAGUCAAAGCCAGAAUUCCAUAGUUCAACAUUCAAGCCCUUCACAGUCUGACGCCAACCUGCCCUUCUGAUCUUCUGUCCAUCCAUUUCCUUUGUUGUACUCUGGAAUCAGACUGAAUCACUGUUCAUUUCCUCAACACCCCUCUACCCCUCUUGCUUUCAUACAUGUGAAUAUAUUCUUUUUCUUUUUUUUUUUUUUGGCCUUUUGUCUUUUUCUAGGGCCGCACCCAAGGCAUAUGGAGGUUCCCAGGCUAGGGGUCUCAUCAGAGCUAUAGUCGCUGGCCUACGCCACAGCCACAGCAAUGCCAGAUCCAAGCUGCGUCUGUGACCUAUACCACAACUCAUGGCAACAACAGAUCCUUAAUCCACUGAGCGAGGCCAGGGAUCGAACCUGCAACCUCAUUGUUCCUAGUUGGAUUUGCUAACCACUGAGCCACGACGGGAACUCCUGAAUAUGUUAUUCUUUCACUUUGCAAUUCUUUCCCUUCAACAGCUUGCCCAUCAAACAAUCUCCUAGGGGUGUUUUAAAACCAGUCCAGGAGUUCCCUGCUGGCUCAGUGGGUUGAGGAUCUGGCACUGUUAUUGCUGUGGCUCUGGUUACUGCUGUGGCAUGGGUUCAAUCCCUGGCCUGGCAGCUUCUGCAUGAUGUGGGCACAACCAAACCAAAACAGAAUACCAGUCCAGAUUACAGAUCACCUCCCCUCUGAAGACUUCCCUCACAUCUCCAACAGAGUUUUUCUUUCUCACUGCCUCCCUCUCAUUCCGCUUCAAUCUUUUGUUUAUAUCCCUUGACAUGAAGAGUUGAAACUAUAUCUUUCAAUGUUUGUCUUUGCCGCUAGACUCUGAGCUUUUUGAAGGCAUCUUUCCCCAGGAUUCAGCACAGAGCCUCCCUCGUUCAUUACAUGCUUUCUGAAUUAACAGCAGCCGAACUGACCCGAGAGGAUCUUGGAAUGUGCCCUCAAAUGGCUGUUAAUGUGGCUGACAAGAUUUGGAAUUGCAAGGACCUCUAAUUAAAUUGUCUGUGGUCACCAUCUUUCCUAAGCAGUUUUGCUGGAAACCGAGAUGAAUUAAAGCAGCUGGGAGAGGAAACGUAUUUCCCCUGGGCUAUCUCAUUGUGAGGCCACUUUUCCUGUCCACACAGUGAUUUAUUACUUGAUAUGUCAUGUACAAACAGAUUCCAACAGGGACUCCAGUUUGAGAAAUUCUAAUGCUCUUAAGUAGGAUGGAAGGGAUUGCAGGGAAGAAUGAACAUCCUGGAUUCUGCUUUUUUUUUUCCCUAAGGGACUCUCUGUUGUCUUCAUUAAGUGGAGAGCCAUAAGGAAACCAAAAGGUCAAUGGAAAUCCUUGGCUUACACUACCAUUGACCUUUUCUUGAGGCAUAUCCUGUCCCUGUUUGUCUAAUUAUCCGCAAAAACAAGGCUAACACUUUAUUCAGGGGCUUUAUUUAAAGCGCUCAGGCUCCCAGUUGAAUGCUGUUACUGUUCCUCUCUUCACUGCCUCCUUCUGGGCCAGGUCUCUGGCAGCUAAGGACAUGUGGCUCUACACCUCAUGUUCCUGCUUAGAGUAGGUGCUCGGAGCCUCAGAAGAACAGCUCCCAAGUUGUCAGGAAAGCUUCCUGCCAAUGACCCGCAACAAAGCAUCCUUGACUUCUUUGUUCCUCAGGGUGUACACCACAGGGUUCAGUAGGGGGGUGAUGACAGUGUAGGUGACUGAGAUCAGCUGGUCCUGAUCCUUGGUGUUCUCUGACUUGGGCUUGAGGUAGGCAAUGGAGGCACAGCCAUAGUGGACAACGACCACAGUGAGGUGGGAGGCACAUGUGGCAAAGGCUUUCUGCCGGCCCUCGGCUGAGGCGAUCUUGAGGAUGGUGGAGAUGAUGAGGACAUAGGAGAUGAAAACCAGAGCCAUCGGCACCACCAGCACCAAAACACUGAUGAUCAGCGUCAGGAUCUCAUUGACAGUGGUGUCGAUGCAGGAGAGCUUCAUCACAGGGCGGAUGUCACAGAAGAAGUGGGCCACCUUUGUAGCACAGAAAGGUAACCUGAAGACAGAUGUCACCUGUGUCAUGGCCACAAUCAGCCCAAUGCUGCAGGCCCCCCCCACCAGCUGGACGCACACCCUCUUGUUCAUCAUGACCGUGUAUCUCAGGGGAUUGCAAAUGGCCACGUAGGGUCAUACCCUUUUUAGCAGUUAGUGAUCCCAAAGGUUACAAACAGGAACAUCUGUGUGGCACAACCUGCCAAUGAGAUGGACUGGCUCACACCCACAAGGCUGGCCAGCAUCCUUGGGAGAAUGACCAAUGUGUAUAUAGUCUCCGAAGUGGACAGCAUGCUGAGGAAGAAGUACAUGGGAGUGUGGAGAUGAUGAUCAAUGUGGAUAAUUGUCACGAUGACUAUAUUACCUGCGAGGGUUAAGAUGUACAGUGCAAGAAACACCACAAAAAGAGUGAGCUGGUGCUCUUGGAAGCUGGAGAAACCUUGGAGAGAAAACUCAGUGGUGAGAGUGUGAUUCUCUCUCUUCAUUGAGUGGCCACUAAAUCUGAAAUGUAGAAGAAUGAAAGUUACAUGAUUUCAGGAAAGCAGUUUAAUCACAGUUCUGAAAUUGAUUGAACUUUGUUCCCAGUGGAUUAAAGCUAAUCCCUGGGUUUACUUAAUUUUGCUUAAAAUAUUUUUGUUCUGUAGCCCUCUGUUAAAAUUUCCUAUGCAAGGCAUCCCAGAAUCAUAAAAGCUUUCCCCCCCCCCACUAUAUAAUUAUGUGCAUUCCCAUUUAAAGUUACUCUUUCUCCUUCCUGGGAACUUCCAUAUGCUACAGGUGCGGCCCUGAAAAGACAAAAGACAAAAAAAAAAAAAAAAAAAAAAAAAAAAAAAAAAAAAAAAAAAUCAUCCUUAUUCUUCAAAGCUUCCAUCAACACAUGUUUUACUCUGAAAUUUUCGUGUUUAUUUGGAUUAUUGUCAGCCCUCCUCAAUACAAACAUUCUUUGGCUUUAUACCUUUUAUGUCUGUAUGUCUCACGAGCUCAAGAUGAUGUAUGUAUGAAUUUGAUGCUUGAGAACACUUUGUUUAGGGACUGACUGGAGACUUCUUUUAUUUCAAGACUGUGAGUCAUCCGCUUCCACAUCAUUUAGGAAGCAGUAGCAAAGCAGACACAGAAAGGUUCAUCCUGUUUUCAGGAAGGAAAAGGUGACUCUUAACCAAUUAUGUCUUCUCCCCAUGGCUGUCUGAAUGAUGGAAGUUGACGGGCACUUCACAGCCCUGACUCACAUAUAGUGUAAACUAUGCUAUGUCUUCAUCUUCUCUAACUAUAAGGCAAAUUUACAGCCCAUACCAUGUUGUAAGUAGGCAUACACCUGUUCUGCAGAGGUAAACAGUUGUACCAGGGCAGAUGCAGCAAACUCAAGUGUCCCUCAUCUAAAGCAAAUGCAGACCCUGAAUAUAAAGAAUAGAAUUACAUGAAAGAUACAUCAUUUUGUGGAAGGAUGGAGCUCAGCCCAAUUCAUGUAAUAUUUCACAUUUUUGUCCCUUUAGACAGUAAGCUCCUGGAGGGUGUUUAAAUUAUAUUCUGAUUUCCUUAUGCAUAUUCAGAAAAAGCCUUUUUGCAUAAAGUAAAUCACAUCAGUGGUGAAGGUUAGUAGGCAUAGAGACCUCCUUCAAGUUUAUAAAAAAUUAUUUAAGAGACGGUGGCAACCAGCUAUUAAUCAUUUAUACUAGGAAAGCUAAAAGAGAGUAAAGGUACAACAGAAAAUAUUUCCCAAUAGGGAAAAUCAUUUGACACUCAAAUAUGUGGCUAAAGACAUUUAUCUUCUGUGCGGCCCCUAGGCAUAAACUAGGCAGUGGUCCAGCCAUGGGGCAGGGUGGCACCUCUACCAUGAAAUAAAAAAUGUGUGUCAGAGCUUUUGAUUGUGAUAAUGAUGAACAUGGGUGCUGCUUACAAUUAAUGGUUCUUUGUGUCCUGCAAUACAUGUGACAUUCCCAUCCAAGGGAAAAUUGUCCUAUUUGAAAUUCCAGCAGGGCUUCUCCUGAGAAAUCCUAUGCUAGAGCGACGUCCAAUCUGGCUGAAGUCUAUCUGUCUUGAGGUAGAAGUAUGGCUGCUAUCACCCGGUUAGCAUCCUCUGCCCUGGGGACCCAAUAAUUCUUCCAAGGAAAGGAAGAGCAAACACAACCUUAUGAAGACCUUCCCCAGCUGUGGCGAGAGCUGUUAUACUGCAAUAAAUUAAAUUUAGCCCACGAGCACUAAGCCCCAUUUCAGCCCCUUUUCUAAAGAACACUUACAUAUGACUGCCUUGCGCUGAGGUGCAACAGAAGAGCUGGGCUGGGGGAGGCUGAGGAGCAAAGCUGAAAGUGUUGGGCUCCCUUGGCCCCAGCUGUAGGCCAGAGCUGAGCCAGGUAACUGGAAGGGCCUAAGACAGGCUGAGGCUGAGCGGCAGUGGAUAAACACGCUCUAGCAGGAGGCUGGGGCUGCAGGCAUCCUUGACAGCCUCUCUGUUGGGAGAAGCCUUUCAAGCCAGAAAAGAUGUUCCCCCAGGAGCAGCCAGUGGGGUCUCUAGAGGUGACUCCCCAAAGACAUCCUGAGAAACACCCUGGGGCCAAGAGGUACAGACAGUGGGCACCCAGGGGCUCAUUAUGUGUGGGGCUCAUUUAUCCAAUCCCAGAGUUGGCAUUCUGGGAGCCUGGGGGUAGUUUUUGCUUCAAGUAGAAAGAGCAAUAGAGGAAAAUGGUUUAUUUGUGUUCUCACUUGUUUGAAUAAACACACUGUAGCUAGCCAGUUAGCUCAGUUGAUUGGAGUGUGGUGUUAAUAAUAAUAAAAUAAUAAAUAGGCACAUUUUUUUUUUAAAAAAAAAACAGAUAUGCCUUGGAAAUCCAUAGUUUACAAAUCUAAGCAGCUCAAGCUUAGAUCUCAGGAGGUUUAGGUCCUAUUUCUUUUUAUUUAUUUAUUUUUAGGGCCGCACUCACAGGCUAGGGGAGGUUCCCAGGCUAGGGGUCAAAUUGGAGCUGCAGCUGUUGGUCUACACCACAGCCACAGCAACACAGGAUCCAAGCUGCAUCUGCAACCUACACCACAGCUCACAGCAAUGCCAGAUCCUUAACCCACUGAGCGAGGCCAGGGAUUGAACCUGUGUCCUCAUGGAUGCCAGUCAGACUCGUUAACCACUGAGCCACGACAGGAAUUCCUAGGCCUUGUUUCUUACAUGCAGGAUCUCUACCCAGUUUAAGAAUUUGCUUUUCUCUUUGGAAUGAAAGUAGUUAAAUGGGGCCCUGGGUCUUCAGAAGGAAAUUGUUGCUGCCUGUUUUUCUGCCUCUGUGGCAUUUAGAAUUGGAAAAACACUAUCUUUAGAUCCAAGGAUCCUCUCUCCUGGAGUUUAGGAAACAGAGAUGAGCCUCUGAACUUUACUCAAAAUUGCCACCCCUUCUCCAUUUGGCAAAGUCUACUAGUCUGUCAAGACCCAAUUCCGAAUUUUCUUUCUGCUAAAGAUUUUCCAUGAGUUUGUUUAUUGCUUCUAUAGUAUUUUCUUACUUUAACAGGUGGUGCUUAUCUGUGUUCAUUCAUUCUUCAAGUGCUAAGCAUGUGGCAGGCCCUGUGCUAGUUGGUGGGCCUGCAGAAAGGAAUGAGAUACUGGAGUUCCCGUUGUGGCUCAGUGGUUAACGAAUCCGACUAGGAACCAUGCGGUUGCAGGUUUGAUCCCUGGCCUUGCUCAGUGAGUUAAGGAUCCGGUGUUGCCGUGACCUGUGGUGUAGGUGCCAGGUGCAGCUCAGAUCCCGUGUUGCUGUGGCUCUAGUAUAGGCCAGCGACUACAGCUCUGACUGGACCCCUAGCCUGGGAACCUCCAUAUGCCGCAGGAGUGGCCCUAGAAAAGGCAAAAAGACGAAAAAAAAGAAAAAAAA
This 8845-nucleotide long non-coding RNA is filed under the name Sus scrofa (pig). RNAcentral's name for it is "lncRNA (ENSSSCG00005002756.1)". Lineage: Eukaryota; Metazoa; Chordata; Mammalia; Artiodactyla; Suidae. The record is from RNAcentral.